This 420-nucleotide ribosomal RNA is filed under the name uncultured bacterium. Its description in RNAcentral is "bacterial SSU rRNA". It matches the Rfam family "Bacterial small subunit ribosomal RNA", at positions 361 to 773 of the family's 1533-position model. The record is from RNAcentral.
AUUUUGGACAAUGGGCGCAAGCCUGAUCCAGCCAUGCCGCGUGUCUGAAGAAGGCCUUCGGGUUGUAAAGGACUUUUGUUAGGGAAGAAAAAGGAGCGGUUAAUACCCGUUUCUGCUGACGGUACCUAAAGAAUAAGCACCGGCUAACUACGUGCCAGCAGCCGCGGUAAUACGUAGGGUGCGAGCGUUAAUCGGAAUUACUGGGCGUAAAGCGAGCGCAGACGGUUACUUAAGCAGGAUGUGAAAUCCCCGGGCUCAACCUGGGAACUGCGUUCUGAACUGGGUAGCUAGAGUAUGUCAGAGGGGGGUAGAAUUCCACGUGUAGCAGUGAAAUGCGUAGAGAUGUGGAGGAAUACCGAUGGCGAAGGCAGCCCCCUGGGAUAAUACUGACGUUCAUGCUCGAAAGCGUGGGUAGCAAAC